This 1244-nucleotide ribosomal RNA is filed under the name metagenome. Its description in RNAcentral is "bacterial LSU rRNA". It matches the Rfam family "Bacterial large subunit ribosomal RNA", at positions 1564 to 2817 of the family's 2925-position model. The record is from RNAcentral.
UGAAUACGAGACGCUAAGGCGUCGAAGUAGUGUAUGUCAUACUUCCAAGAAAAGCUUGCACUGUCAUAGAUAAAAAACGCCUGUACCAUAACCGACACAGGUGGGUAGGUAGAGUAUACUAAGGGGCGCGAGAUAACUCUCUCUAAGGAACUCGGCAAAAUAACUCCGUAACUUCGGGAGAAGGAGUGCCUUAUUCGUAAGGUUGCAAUAACAAGAUCCAAGCAACUGUUUAUCAAAAACACAGGUCUCCGCUAAGUCGUAAGACGAUGUAUGGGGGCUGACGCCUGCCCAGUGCCAGAAGGUUAAAGAAGUUGGUUAGCAAUUGCGAAGCUGAUAACUGAAGCCCUGGUGAACGGCGGCCGUAACCAUAACGGUCCUAAGGUAGCGAAAUUCCUUGUCGGGUAAGUUCCGACCCGCACGAAAGGCGUAAUGAUUUGGAUACUGUCUCGGAGAGGGGCUCGGUGAAAUAGACUUGUCUGUGAAGAUGCGGACUACCUGCACCAGGACAGAAAGACCCUAUGAAGCUUUACUGUAACUUGAAAUUGAAAUUGGACUUUAUUCGCGCAGUAUAGGUGGGAGGCGUUGAUUAUAAUCUUGUGGGAUUAUUGGAGCCAUCAGUGAGAUACCACUCUUGUAAUGUUAGAUUUCUAACUUUGAAUCAUUAUCUGGUCAAAGAACAGUUUCAGGCGGGCAGUUUGACUGGGGCGGUCGCCUCCUAAACGGUAACGGAGGCGUACAAAGGUUUCCUCUGAACGGUUAGAAAUCGUAUCUAGAGUGUAAAGGCAUAAGGAAGCUUGACUGUGAGACCUACAAGUCGAGCAGGGACGAAAGUCGGUCUUAGUGAUCUGACGGUACUGAGUGGAAAGGCCGUCACUCAACGGAUAAAAGUUACUCUAAGGAUAACAGGCUGAUCUCCCCCAAGAGUUCACAUCGACGGGGAGGUUUGGCACCUCGAUGUCGGCUCAUCGCAUCCUGGGGCGGUAGUACGUCCCAAGGGUUGGGCUGUUCGCCCAUGAAAGCGGUACGCGAGCUGGGUUCAGAACGUCGUGAGACAGUUCGGUCCAUAUCCGGUGUAGGCGUUAGAAUAUUGAGAGGAGCCUUCUUUAGUACGAGAGGACCGAGAAGGACAUACCUCUGGUGUACCAGUUAUCGUGCCAACGGUAAACGCUGGGUAGCUAUGUAUGGAGUGGAUAACCGCUGAAAGCAUCUAAGUGGGAAGCCCACCUCAAGAUAAGUAUUCUCAU